RNAcentral lists this ribosomal RNA (253 nucleotides) under uncultured bacterium. RNAcentral's name for it is "partial 16S ribosomal RNA". It matches the Rfam family "Bacterial small subunit ribosomal RNA", at positions 524 to 776 of the family's 1533-position model. The record is from RNAcentral.
UACGGAGGGUGCAAGCGUUGUCCGGAUUUAUUGGGUUUAAAGGGUGCGUAGGCGGCCCGUUAAGUCAGCGGUGAAAUCCCAGGGCUCAACCCUGGAACUGCCGUUGAUACUGGCGGGCUUGAGUUCGGUCGAGGCGGGCGGAACUGGCGGUGUAGCGGUGAAAUGCUUAGAUACCGCCAAGAACCCCGAUUGCGUAGGCAGCUCGCUUGGCCGAAACUGGCGCUGAGGCACGAAAGCGUGGGGAGCGAACAGG